UACGAGUGGCUCAAGCGUUAUCCGGAAUUAUUGGGCGUAAAGGGUGUGUAGGUGGUUAUAUUAGUUAAAUGUCUAACCUCUGGGCUCAACCUGGAGACAGCAUUUAAAACGGUAUGACUAGAGUAUGUAGUGUAGCGGUGAAAUGCUUAGAUAUUACAUGGAAUACCGAUUGCGAAGGCAGGUUACUACUAAUGGAUUGACGCUGAUGGACGAAAGCGUGGGUAGCGAACAGG
RNAcentral lists this ribosomal RNA (233 nucleotides) under uncultured bacterium. Its description in RNAcentral is "partial 16S ribosomal RNA". It matches the Rfam family "Bacterial small subunit ribosomal RNA", at positions 524 to 776 of the family's 1533-position model. The record is from RNAcentral.